Molecule: ribosomal RNA, 562 nt
Filed under: uncultured bacterium
Lineage: Bacteria
Description: partial 16S ribosomal RNA
Rfam family: Bacterial small subunit ribosomal RNA
Source: RNAcentral
UGGGGAAUAUUGGACAAUGGGCGCAAAGCCUGAUCCAGCCAUGCCGCGUGAGUGAUGAAGGCCCUAGGGUUGUAAAGCUCUUUCGCCAGGGACGAUAAUGACGGUACCUGGAUAAGAAGCCCCGGCUAACUUCGUGCCAGCAGCCGCGGUAAUACGAAGGGGGCUAGCGUUGUUCGGAAUCACUGGGCGUAAAGCGCACGUAGGCGGAUCUUUAAGUCAGGGUGAAAUCCCGAGGCUCAACCUCGGAACUGCCUUUGAUACUGGAGGUCUCGAGUUCGGGAGAGGUGAGUGGAACUGCGAGUGUAGAGGUGAAAUUCGUAGAUAUUCGCAAGAACACCAGUGGCGAAGGCGGCUCACUGGCCCGAUACUGACGCUGAGGUGCGAAAGCGUGGGGAGCAAAACAGGAUUAGAUACCCUGGUAGUCCACGCCGUAAACGAUGGAUGCUAGCCGUUGGGGAGCUUGCUCUUCAGUGGCGCAGCUAACGCUUUAAGCAUCCCGCCUGGGGAGUACGGUCGCAAGAUUAAAACUCAAAUGAAUUGACGGGGUCAUAGCUGUUUCCUG